CUUUACAAUGCUGGCAACAGCGAUAAGGGAACCUCGAGUGCCAGGUUACAAAUCUGGCUGUCGAGAUGCCUAAAAGCAUUUCAUAGCAAGGGCCGGGCAAGACCGGUGCCAGCCGCCGCGGUAACACCGGCGGCCCGAGUGGUAACCGUGAUUAUUGGGUCUAAAGGGUCCGUAGCCGGUUUGGUCAGUCCUCCGGGAAAUCUGAUAGCUCAACUAUUAGGCUUUCGGGGGAUACUGCCAGACUUGGAACCGGAGAGGUAAGAGGUACUACAGGGGUAGAGUGAAAUCUUGUAAUCCCUGUGAGACCACCUGUGGCGAAGGCGUCUUACCAGAACGGGUUCGACGGUGAGGGACGAAAGCUGGGGGCACGAACCGGAUUAGAUACCCCGGUAGU
Molecule: ribosomal RNA, 394 nt
Filed under: uncultured archaeon
Lineage: Archaea
Description: bacterial SSU rRNA
Rfam family: Archaeal small subunit ribosomal RNA
Source: RNAcentral